Molecule: long non-coding RNA, 2724 nt
Filed under: Canis lupus familiaris (dog)
Lineage: Eukaryota; Metazoa; Chordata; Mammalia; Carnivora; Canidae
Description: lncRNA (ENSCAFG00040011411.1)
Source: RNAcentral
AUGGGGUACCUAUGGGAGAGAUGCCCUCUAGGAGGACGUGCUCACUGCGCCCUAUGCCCCAGCCUCUCUGCUAAUGCCCGGCCCGACAGCCACCAAGCUGUGAGGAGUGACAAAGCUUUGUAUUCCUUACAGAGAUCUCAGACGCCCAGGCGACCCCUCCCCAGGGGAAGACCACAAGGGCUGUCAUCUCGGGUACCUGGAGGAAGCCCCAGGCUGCCCCGCCGGGUGGGGUUCUCAGGGCCAGGAUCCAUCAAGAACCAGAGAGUCGGGACCCCUGGGUGGCGCAGCGGUUUGGCGCCUGCCUUUGGCCCAGGGCGCGAUCCUGGAGACCCGGGAUCGAAUCCCACAUCGGGCUCCCGGUGCAUGGAGCCUGCUUCUCCCUCUGCCUAUGUCUCUGCCUCUCUCUCUCUCUCUCUCUGUGACUAUCAUAAAUGAAUAAAAAUUAAAAAAAAAAAAGAAAAAGAACCAGAGAGUCUGGAAGGGCCUUCUGGGUCAUUUGACCUAAGGAGUAAAGAUGCUCAGGGAGAAGCAGCAGAGACGCCGUGGGGGAGCCCCACAGACCACUGGUGUCUCACACACGAGCGUCCUAGGCCAGACCAGAUCUGUGCGGCCGCCGGGGGCCCGCAAUCCUCUAUACAAGGGGCUUGGGCCACCCCGGUUUGCAAGGGGAGGGCGACAGGACUGCAGCAGCAGAGAAGUGCACGGAUCUGUUAGGGUGGAGGGUGUCUUUGGGUGGCUGGGCGGGGGGCACACAUGGAGAUGAUAAAGGGGAUUAGCCCCUGCCCCCCAAACACCAUCAUAACCCACAGUAACCUCUGUCUUCUCCUCGUGGCCUCAGAGGGCCUCUGUCCCCGCAUCCAAAAAUGCCCUACCAAGAAAAUGUAAGAUCUAAUCCAGUGGUUCUCAGUCCUGCCAGACGUCAGCACGAGCCCCCAGUUGAAUCCAAAUCUCUGGAGGCGAGGCCUGGGGCUUCUUGAAGGUUCCCCAGGUGGUUCUGAGGAGCAGCCAGUGUGGAGAAAUGUUAGUCCACCCCCUGGGGCUGCCUGACACGCGGUGCGCCUACAGUGUGUCCUCAGCAACCUGCCCGCAGUGCCCUGGGUUGGGCCCAGUGCGUGGCAAAUACCCACCCAGAUAUGGGGGGGCCUGCCUGCCGGCUCCAGCGCGCAGCAUGCUGGUGUGCUUGCCCCAGCAGAGACUGAGCUGCACUUCCUACCUGAGUGGGGGGCCACCUGUGCACAUGGCCAGCGCUUCCCUGGGUUUCUCCUUCUGCUGUCCCCCUGAGCUCCAUGCACCAGGUGUGGACGCAGCACCUGCUGGAGGUGAGUCAAGCUCUCCAGGAGGAGUGCAGGGGGAUGGGGGGCCUCCUCCACUCAGCCCGGGGUUAUCUGCUCUCAGUCCGAGGCUGCAGCCUCUCCUCCAGGACUAACUGCCUUUAAGGACUGCCCUCCCCACCCCAGCAAAGGCCCACUGCCCCGCUGAACCCGGAGACCCCUCCUCCCCGACCCCCAGCUCUUUCUCAGCCCCCAGGUCCCAGCUGUCUGCAAGCUCAGGCAAAACCUGGACUCUCUUUCCAGAGCCACAUGCCAACGCACCACCUUUGACACAGCAGUGCCCCACCUGAGAGUCUACCCUAAGGGAAUAACCCUCAAAAACUGAAAAAGCUGGGCGGCCCCAGUGGCUCAGUGGUUUAAGUGCCACCUUCAGCCUGGGGUAUGAUCCUGGAGACCCGGGAUCGAGUCCCGCGUCGGCUCCCUGCAUGGAGCCUGCUUCUCCCUCUUCCUGUGUCUCUGCUCUCUCUCUCUGUUUCUCAUGAAUAAAUAAAUAAAAUCUUAAAACAAAAACUGAAAAAGCUCUUGGAACAAAGUAUUUCUGAAAGCAGGGAACUGGAAGCAGCUGGGGAGCAGCAGCACGCCCAUUGUAAAAGCUAAUUGUGAGCACGAUUGCAACACGGGGAAUCGCUAAAGAUACAGCGUUGAGUGCAAAAUUGCAUUGGGCGGGAGUUCAGCGGUGGAAAAGUUGUAUAUUUGCCCCUACAAGGGCCAGACGGGGAAAAAAAAAAAAGAGAAAAAAAAAAAAGAAAAGAAAACCAGUAUGCCCUUUAUUUUAAAAGGUUUGUGAUUGGGAGUGAUUUCUUUUUCUGAUUUCUGAACUUGUAAUAUUGUUUGUGCAAUAAAUAUUUGAAUGAAUAUUUAAUAAUAGUGAUUUUAUUAGUGCCUUGUUCAGGGAAGGCUGUUGAAGACGCCCAUUCAAGCUCAGGUGUAAAUGAGCACAGGUCCCCGUGUGGGCUGCCUCUGUGGACUAUUUGCAUUUGAAAGAAGCUAAAGUUUCAGACAAACAGUAGCAAUCGGGGCCUCCACAGACCUCCUGGUUUAGGGUCGCCACUUUGUGGGGCAGCCCAAGAAGGGACAGCUUACAGGUAACAGCCUCUGAGCCUCCCCUGCCCUGCACAUUAUGUUGUACAAUAAUAAGGACACCUGUGGGGUCACACGGGGACACUGAGCUGCGGGAAAGGUGUCACGGGUCCGCAGCUAGGAAAGGGCAGGGCUGGGAUCUGAACCCAGGUAGGGUUUAGCUAAGGGCAAGAGCCUCCUCCCCCCUCUGAGAUGGAGAGGUGGCAGGUGCUCUCUGGAGCCUUCUCAGAGGCAGCCUGGAUGGACAAGGACACUUGUUACCGGUCCGACAGGGACGAGGUGUUGCCUCCAGGGAGGAGGGGGGCUGAGCCUG